AGAGACCUGAUAACACAAGGCUGGGGGAAGCUAGGGAGGGAGGGAGGUAGAGGGGGAGGCAGAGACCUGAUAACACAAGACUGGGGGAAGCUAGGGAGGGAGGGAGGUAGAGGAGGAGGCAGAGACCUGAUAACACAAGGCUGGGGGAAGCUAGGGAGGGAGGGAGGUAGAGGAGGAGGCAGAGACCUGAUAACACAAGGCUGGGAUGAGCUAGGGAGGGAGGGAGGUAGAGGAGGAGGCAGAGACCUGAUAACACAAGGCUGGGGGAAGAUAGGGAGGGAGGGAGGUAGAGGAGGAGGCAGAGACCUGAUAACACAAGACUGGGGGAAGCUAGGGAGGGAGGGAGGUAGAGGGGGAGACAGAGACCUGAUAACACAAGACUGG
Molecule: long non-coding RNA, 384 nt
Filed under: Salmo salar (Atlantic salmon)
Lineage: Eukaryota; Metazoa; Chordata; Actinopteri; Salmoniformes; Salmonidae
Description: lncRNA (ENSSSAG00000120271.1)
Source: RNAcentral